RNAcentral lists this ribosomal RNA (404 nucleotides) under uncultured archaeon. RNAcentral describes it as "bacterial SSU rRNA". It matches the Rfam family "Archaeal small subunit ribosomal RNA", at positions 679 to 1082 of the family's 1478-position model. The record is from RNAcentral.
ACCAGAACACGUUCGACGGUGAGGGAUGAAAGCUGGGGGAGCAAACCGGAUUAGAUACCCGGGUAGUCCCAGCUGUAAACGAUGCAGACUCGGUGAUGCAUUGGCUUGUGGCCAAUGCAGUGCCGCAGGGAAGCCGUUAAGUCUGCCGCCUGGGAAGUACGUACGCAAGUAUGAAACUUAAAGGAAUUGGCGGGGGAGCACCACAAGGGGUGAAGCCUGCGGUUCAAUUGGAGUCAACGCCAGAAAUCUUACCUGGGGAGACAGCAGAAUGAAGGUCAAGCUGAAGACUUUACCAGACACGCUGAGAGGUGGUGCAUGGCCGUCGCCAGCUCGUGCCGUGAGAUGUCCUGUUAAGUCAGGUAACGAGCGAGAACCCUGCGUCUAGUUGCUACCAUUACUCUCUG